GACGAACGCUGGCGGCGUGCUUAACACAUGCAAGUCGAACGGAAAGGCCUGCUUUCCCUUGUGGAUUGCGGGUACUCGAGUGGCGAACGGGUGAGUAACACGUGAGUGAUCUGCCCCCAACUUGGGUAUAAGCCUGGGAAACUGGGUCUAAUUCCCGAUAGGACUGCAGGGUGGUGCCUGUGGUGGAAAACGAUUUUCUAGUGGUUGGGGAUGAGCUCGCGGCCUAUCAGCUUGUUGGUGGGGUAAUGGCCUACCAAGGCGGCGACGGGUAGCCGGCCUGAGAGGGUGGACGGCCACAUUGGGACUGAGAUACGGCCCAGACGGCUACGGGAGGCAGCAGUGGGGAAUAUUGGACAAUGGGCGGAAGCCUGAUGCAGCGACGCCGCGUGGGGGAUGACGGGCUUCGGGUUGUAAACUCCUUUCGACCGCGAGGAAGCCACGUGGUUGGAAGGGUGGUGACGGUAGUGGUAGAAGAAGCACCGGCUAACUACGUG
RNAcentral lists this ribosomal RNA (494 nucleotides) under uncultured bacterium. RNAcentral describes it as "partial 16S ribosomal RNA". It matches the Rfam family "Bacterial small subunit ribosomal RNA", at positions 28 to 507 of the family's 1533-position model. The record is from RNAcentral.